RNAcentral lists this ribosomal RNA (253 nucleotides) under uncultured bacterium. RNAcentral describes it as "partial 16S ribosomal RNA". It matches the Rfam family "Bacterial small subunit ribosomal RNA", at positions 524 to 776 of the family's 1533-position model. The record is from RNAcentral.
AACGUAGGACACAAGCGUUAUCCGGAAUUACUGGGCGUAAAGCGCCUGCAGGCGGUUGAAUAAGUCAUGCGUGAAAGCGCCCGGCUAAACUGGGCGAGGACGGAUGAUACUGUUUGACUAGAGGGUGAUAGAGGCGAGUGGAAUUCCGCGUGUAGUGGUGAAAUGCGUAGAGAUGCGGAGGAACACCAGUGGCGAAGGCGGCUCGCUGGGUCACACCUGACGCUGAGAGGCGAAAGCAUGGGGAGCGAACGGG